AAAACUUUCCAAAACUUGUGAUCAAGGAAAAAAAAUGAAAUACAAAUGAAAGGGAUAACUUACGGUGGACUGCUAGCGGCGGUGCUCUUCUGGCAGCAGGACUGGAGGCAGUCGGGGAUGGCGGUGUCCUUGAGAUCGACUGAGAUAGGCAGAGUAAGCCUUAGCGUUUGAUUAUAGGGGGUUUUCCGGCGGCUUGGGGGGGGCUUAAGCCCCCACCAGCCCCCCCUUAAAUCCGUGGCUGAUUGCACAACCACAAGGGAAAAGCAGGGAGCUACAGCAUGCCAUCUUAGCAAAAACAAAACCCAACCUCUAGCAUAAUUACCAAAAACUUCAACUACCCAACUCUGGUAAACAAAAUUUCUGGGAUAAGAACAACGCAAAACGCAAGCAAAAAUCAUCUUCAAAGCAGGACUUUCGGUUAGGCAUUUCGUCGAACAGCAAAUAGGCACCAAAAUUUCACCGACUUUUUUUGCUCAAUUAAGGUCAUUUUCAGCCCCAAAAGUUUGCCAGAAACACAGCAAACAGUCCAAUUAACACAUAUAGCAUGCGUAUUAAAAAAUCAUGAACAAACAACCGAAAAUUGCAACCAAACACAGUCACGGCAGCCUGUUUCAAAGGCUUGAACAAAACUGAAGUUUUAAAGAAGAAAAGACAGCUUACCGUGCUCUUGCUUGAUGAAAAUUGGCCGGUGAUGAUGGUGGAUUCGGUGAAGUGGCGGCGCUGGCGGUGGUCGACGGCAGUGGUGAUUCUGGUUCUUACUCUCCUCUGCCUCCGUUUUGAUUUUUCCCUAGCCCGAAGCUUCUUUCUUCCUCUUGUUCUGGUUCCUGCUCUUGUCUUCCUCUCAGAAACUCCCCGAAGUUCUCCCUUUCACUUUCGCGUCUCCCUUUUCUCUAACCCUAGCAGUCCAUUUUCCUCUUAGUUUUCUGCUUUGUUCCGCCGCCCCUUGUCUUUCCUUUGCUUUGUUCUUUUUAGCCCAAACCUCUCUCGGCCUUCUCUGUUUUUCCCCACCGAAGCCCCCCUCUCGGUUCUCUCCUUUUUCUUCUCCUUGUUCUCAGCCCCUCUGUUUUCCCCUUGCGUUUUUGCUCUUUUUUCCUCCUCUGCCCGUCAGCCGCCACCCUCUUUUCCUUUUCUCUGUUUUUUGUUUUCGUUGAGCUUCCCUCUCCGUCCUUUUCCCUUCACUCAGCCGAAGCCUCUCCUCAGCCUUCAGCCGCUAAACUUCCCAUUUUUUCCUUUCAAUCUUUCUCUUUCUUUUUCUUUAGCCUCCGAUGAAGCACCUCCUUUUUUUCCUUUUCGUUUUCCACGGUUCCUUUUCAUCCGCCACCCCCUUGGUUUUUCUUUUACUCUGUUUUUUCCAGCCGUCCUCCCCUCUCGGUUCUCUCCUUUCUUUUUUCUCUUUUCGGCCACCAACCAGGUUCCCCCCCUACUCAGCCGCCAAACCCUCCUCUUUGUCUUGCCUUUUUUUUUCAAGCCCCGUUGCCCUUUUCUUCUCUUUCUUUUCCUUUUCAAAAUAUCUAUCCUACAAGUGUCUAGACACCUCACCAUCUAGGUGAGGUGAGGUGUUGUCAAAUGCAAAAAGGGACACUUGUCUCUAUCCAUGAUCCCCAUUUGUCAUUAUUUUUUUUUUGCUUUUUCUUUUUCUCUUUUUUUUUAGUACGAGACAAAAAUAAAUAAUAAAAUAAAAUGAAUUAGAGCAAAAUAAAAU
This 1702-nucleotide long non-coding RNA is filed under the name Coffea arabica (coffee). Its description in RNAcentral is "long non-coding RNA (CARA_LNC008112)". The record is from RNAcentral. Lineage: Eukaryota; Viridiplantae; Streptophyta; Magnoliopsida; Gentianales; Rubiaceae.